RNAcentral lists this ribosomal RNA (466 nucleotides) under uncultured bacterium. RNAcentral describes it as "partial 16S ribosomal RNA". It matches the Rfam family "Bacterial small subunit ribosomal RNA", at positions 29 to 506 of the family's 1533-position model. The record is from RNAcentral.
ACGAACGCUGGCGGCGUGCUUCACCCCUGCAAGUCGAACGGAAAGGCCCUGCUUUUGUGGGGUGCUCGAGUGGCGAACGGGUGAGUAACACGUGAGUAACCUGCCCUUGACUUUGGGAUAACUUCAGGAAACUGGGGCUAAUACCGGAUAGGAGCUCCUGCUGCAUGGUGGGGGUUGGAAAGUUUCGGCGGUUGGGGAUGGACUCGCGGCUUAUCAGCUUGUUGAUGGGGUAGUGGCUUACCAAGGCUUUGACGGGUAGCCGGCCUGAGAGGGUGACCGGCCACAUUGGGACUGAGAUACGGCCCAGACUCCUACGGGAGGCAGCAGUGGGGAAUAUUGCACAAUGGGCGGAAGCCUGAUGCAGCAACGCCGCGUGCGGGAUGACGGCCUUCGGGUUGUAAACCGCUUUCGCCUGUGACGAAGCGUGAGUGACGGUAAUGGGUAAAGAAGCACCGGCUAACUACGU